UACGGAGGGUGCAAACGUUGCUCGGAAUCAUUGGGCGUAAAGCGCACGUAGGCGGACUCUUAAGUCGGUGGUGAAAUCCUGGAGCUCAACUCCAGAACUGCCUUCGAUACUGAGAGUCUCGAGUCCGGGAGAGGUGAGUGGAACUGCGAGUGUAGAGGUGAAAUGCGUAGAGAUCCGGAGGAACACCAAAGGCGAAGGCAGUGUCCUGGGGAGUACCUGACGCUCAGGUGCGAAAGCCAGGGGAGCGAACGGG
Molecule: ribosomal RNA, 253 nt
Filed under: uncultured bacterium
Lineage: Bacteria
Description: partial 16S ribosomal RNA
Rfam family: Bacterial small subunit ribosomal RNA
Source: RNAcentral